RNAcentral lists this ribosomal RNA (671 nucleotides) under bacterium AV-V-4. RNAcentral's name for it is "bacterial SSU rRNA". It matches the Rfam family "Bacterial small subunit ribosomal RNA", at positions 81 to 748 of the family's 1533-position model. The record is from RNAcentral.
UCCUGAGGUGACGAGCGGCGGACGGGUGAGUAAUGCCUAGGGAUCUGCCCAGUCGAGGGGGAUAACAGUUGGAAACGACUGCUAAUACCGCAUACGCCCUACGGGGGAAAGGAGGGGACCUUCGGGCCUUUCGCGAUUGGAUGAACCUAGGUGGGAUUAGCUAGUUGGUGAGGUAAUGGCUCACCAAGGCGACGAUCCCUAGCUGUUCUGAGAGGAUGAUCAGCCACACUGGGACUGAGACACGGCCCAGACUCCUACGGGAGGCAGCAGUGGGGAAUAUUGCACAAUGGGCGAAAGCCUGAUGCAGCCAUGCCGCGUGUGUGAAGAAGGCCUUCGGGUUGUAAAGCACUUUCAGUAGGGAGGAAAGGGUAUUGCUUAAUACGYAAUAUCUGUGACGUUACCUACAGAAGAAGGACCGGCUAACUCCGUGCCAGCAGCCGCGGUAAUACGGAGGGUCCGAGCGUUAAUCGGAAUUACUGGGCGUAAAGCGUGCGCAGGCGGUUUGUUAAGCCAGAUGUGAAAUCCCCGGGCUCAACCUGGGAAUUGCAUUUGGAACUGGCGAACUAGAGUCUUGUAGAGGGGGGUAGAAUUCCAGGUGUAGCGGUGAAAUGCGUAGAGAUCUGGAGGAAUACCGGUGGCGAAGGCGGCCCCCUGGACAAAGACUGACGCUC